GAUUAUGGCUCAGGAUGAACGCUAGCGACAGGCUUAACACAUGCAAGUCGAGGGGCAGCAUAAAAGUAGCAAGUACUUUGGUGGCGACCGGCGCACGGGUGAGUAACGCGUAUGCAACCUACCUAUCAGGAGGGGAAUAACCCCGGCGAAAGUCGGACUAAUACCGCAUAAAACAGGGGCACCGCAGUGGUGAUAUUUGUUAAAGAAAUUCGCUGAUAGAUGGGCAUGCGUUCCAUUAGGUAGUUGGUGAGGUAACGGCUCACCAAGCCGACGAUGGGUAUCCGGCCUGAGAGGGUGUACGGACACAUUGGGACUGAGAUACGGCCCAAACUCCUACGGGAGGCAGCAGCUAAGAAUAUUCCGCAAUGGACGAAAGUCUGACGGAGCGACGCCGCGUGGAUGAAAAGAAGGCCGGAAGGUUGUAAAAUCCUUUUGCUGAUGAAGAAUAAGUGUGGUAGGGAAUGACCGCAUGAUGACAUUAGUCGGUGAAUAAGCCCCGGCUAACUACGUGCCAGCCGCCGC
RNAcentral lists this ribosomal RNA (522 nucleotides) under uncultured bacterium. RNAcentral's name for it is "bacterial SSU rRNA". It matches the Rfam family "Bacterial small subunit ribosomal RNA", at positions 15 to 518 of the family's 1533-position model. The record is from RNAcentral.